CCCAGCUUUAGGAAAAUCACUUUGGUGGCUGGAUGGAAGAUGGGAGGGCGUGGGGAGACACUCACGGCAGGCAGACCCACCUGGAGCGAUGGCAGAGGCCCACGUAUAGGGGCAUUCGCUUCGAUCCCGAAAUUCCCCAGACGCUGAGGCUAGAGUUUGCCAAGGCAAACACAAAGAUGGCAAAAAACAAACUCGUCGGGACCCCGAACCCCAGCACUCCUCUGCCCAGUACCGCCCCUCAGUUCAUCGCCAGGGAGCCGUAUGAGCUCACAGUGCCUGCACUUUAUCCCAGCACCCCCGAAGUGUGGGCCCCGUACCCUCUGUACCCAGCGGAGUUGACGCCUGCCCUGCCCCCUCCUGCUUUCACCUAUCCCGCUUCACUGCAUGCCCAGGUCCCCUGGCCCCAACCUGUGUCAGGGAUUCUGUCCCCUCUCCCCUUCCUUCACCACCUGUCUCAGGAAGGCCACUCCAGCUCUGCUCUUUGCUUAAUGAGCAAAUGGAUUCAGAUGCACAAAGCCGUGAACCAUGGAUGCGCUGGUUCCCUCCCUCCGAGGCUACUUCUCAGGGCUGGAAGUCCCGUCAGUUCUGCUGAACACUGUGUACCAGGUGUGUGAUGGCGGCUAUGCUUUGUCUUGUGGGUAUUGAUACAAUCUUCGGCAGUGGCUGCUGGUUUCGUGAGCUGUUUUUUAAGACUGCAGCUUACUGGCUUGAAUGAAGCAUCACCUGGUUUAAUUCCUCCAAGACUUUGCCACAGCCUCUAUCACACAUCUGUACUUGUCGAAGAAAAAGUAUAAUAAUAAAUAAACAUGUUUUUUCUCUUUUACACUGUAUAAUAUAAGAAAUAGUGUUUCUGUGAAUGCGUGGCCUGCCAUCCGUUGCUGGACUCUGAACGAAGUUUUAAACAUCACGUAAACACGCAGCAGGAGAGCGUCCUUCACGCUGAUCGUCGUAAGGCCGCCUGGACAAGCAUACACUGGGUUGGAUCACAGUUUUUGUGUUUGACGCUUGAACACUUAGAAUUAAAAUUUCUGUUUGUGCCCCUCUUAAGCCGCGUGUUUGGGGAAUUUAUAAAAAUCGUAUCAGCUCUUUUGUAUGGUGAGUUUAUGUAUUUUUGUCGCUCUGGUUUGAGUCUUGGGGAAGGUCCCACAUGGUGUGCGUGUCAGACCCAAAGUUGUAGGGAGUUGGGGAGUUAGCUUUUAACUCCCAGUUCUGCUAGCUGAUUUAGGCCAGACAGUCUGGAUCGUUGGCCAGGGAAGCUUCUUUUCUUGGUACGUUCACAGCCAGACGAGCCGAUGUUUCUGGGUCUCAGCCCCAUAGCUAGGGAGUUGUGCCAGUACCAAGCCACAGGGUCGUUCCAGACUGGGUGGGUCGUUAUCAUCCCCCUUACGGAGGCACACCCAGGGGAAGGGAAGAGCCCUUCAUUCUCUUGCAGUCAGAAACCUUGGCUGACCCAGGCCUCUCAGUGCCCUGCACCGGGUUCUGCAAACAUUAGGCCAGGUUUCUGGAUCUUUGGCAGCCCGAACCAAACAUAAUCCUGUUUUCUAUUCAUGAGAAAAUGCCAGCCCAGCACAGAAGGCGCUGGUGUGAACCCUGUGGAGCGCCACGUCUCGAGAGAGACCUCCUCAGAACCAGUCGUGACUCUGCUUUUGGUCCUAAGUUUGUUUGAGCAGCUUGUCUGAUACUUUAGAGGCUAAUAAACAUGUUCACCAUUUUA
Molecule: RNA transcript, 1714 nt
Organism: Vombatus ursinus (common wombat)
Lineage: Eukaryota; Metazoa; Chordata; Mammalia; Diprotodontia; Vombatidae
Gene: RBPMS
Gene name: RNA binding protein, mRNA processing factor
Exons: 7
Source: RefSeq, a predicted model, not a curated record